This is a non-coding RNA of Maylandia zebra (zebra mbuna), 452 nucleotides long. Lineage: Eukaryota; Metazoa; Chordata; Actinopteri; Cichliformes; Cichlidae. The record is from RefSeq and is a predicted model, not a curated record.
AAUCGCGAAAACGAUCGGCUGGUUACUGACAACCAAAAGGUUGUUUUUGGUAGAUAUUAAAGAUCAUGGGUGGGCGGGGCAAAUGGAGCAGUUUUCUACAGUCGAGUAAAAUUCCAGGAAAGAGCUGGGUGUGGCUUUCCUUUAAAUCACAUGAUCAACAGCUUUAAGAUGGAGGCAACUCGCUCAGUGUUUCCUGUUUCAUUCUUAGACUGUGGCGAUGGCCGACCAAGAGCAAAAUAGAAGACAACAAUUUCUCAAAGGAGGUUCAAAACUAAUGCCUACAAGAUUACCAAGAGGAGGGUUCGGGGCUCUUACAUGACUCCGGGAAGUCAACACUUGGUGGAUGAGAUCCUUCACAGCAUGUUGUUUCUGGGCAAAAUCAACAACAUCCCCUUUUCUCCAGAAGAAAUCUUCCCUAAUCCUUUUGUUUUGGGUUCUUUAAUGAGAAGAUA